GACGAACGCUGGCGGCGUGCUUAACACAUGCAAGUCGAACGGAAAGGCCCUGCUUUUGUGGGGUGCUCGAGUGGCGAACGGGUGAGUAACACGUGAGUAACCUGCCCUUGACUUUGGGAUAACUUCAGGUAACUGGGGCUAAUACCGGAUAGGAGCUCCUGCUGCAUGGUGGGGGUUGGAAAGUUUCGGCGGUUGGGGAUGGACUCGCAGCUUAUCAGCUUGGUGGUGGGGUAGUGGCUUACCACGGCUUUGAGGGGUGGCCGGCCUGGCAGGGAGGGUGGUGACCUUGGGACUGAGAUACGGACUGGAGUCCUACGGGAGGCAGCAGUGGGAAAUGUCACACAAUGCGCGGAAGCCUCAUGCAGCGAUGCCGCGGUCGGUAGGUCUGCCUUUGGGGUGAAAACCAAUUUCGGUUGAGACGUUGCGGGAGGGACGUUACUGGGUGAAGAAGCACCGGCUAACUACGUG
RNAcentral lists this ribosomal RNA (468 nucleotides) under uncultured bacterium. RNAcentral's name for it is "partial 16S ribosomal RNA". It matches the Rfam family "Bacterial small subunit ribosomal RNA", at positions 28 to 507 of the family's 1533-position model. The record is from RNAcentral.